UGGAUAACCGUGGUAAUUCUAGAGCUAAUACAUGCUAAAAAUCCCGACUUUGGAAGGGAUGUAUUUAUUAGAUUAAAAACCAAUGCCCUUCGGGGCUCUCUGGUGAUUCAUGAUAACUUCUCGAAUCGCAUGGCCUUGCGCCGGCGAUGGUUCAUUCAAAUUUCUUCCCUAUCAACUUUCGAUGUUUGGGUAUUGGCCAAACAUGGUUGCAACGGGUAACGGAGGGUUAGGGCUCGACCCCGGAGAAGGAGCCUGAGAAACGGCUACUACAUCCAAGGAAGGCAGCAGGCGCGCAAAUUACCCAAUCCCGACACGGGGAGGUAGUGACAAUAAAUACUGAUACAGGGCUCUUUUGGGUCUUGUAAUUGGAAUGAGUACAAUUUAAACCCCUUAACGAGGAACAAUUGGAGGGCAAGUCUGGUGCCAGCAGCCGCGGUAAUUCCAGCUCCAAUAGCGUAUAUUAAAGUUGUUGUGGUUAAAAAGCUCGUAGUUGAACCUUGGGCCUGGCUGGCCGGUCCGCCUCACCGCGUGUACUGGUCCGGCCGGGCCUUUCCCUCUGUGGAACCCCAUGCCCUUCACUGGGUGUGGUGGGGAAACAGGACUUUUACUUUGAAAAAAUUAGAGUGCUCCAGGCAGGCCUAUGCUCGAAUACAUUAGCAUGGAAUAAUAGAAUAGGACGUGUGGUUCUAUUUUGUUGGUUUCUAGGACCGCCGUAAUGAUUAAUAGGGACAGUCGGGGGCAUCAGUAUUCAAUUGUCAGAGGUGAAAUUCUUGGAUUUAUUGAAGACUAACUACUGCGAAAGCAUUUGCCAAGGAUGUUUUCAUUAAUCAGGAACGAAAGUUAGGGGAUCGAAGACGAUCAG
RNAcentral lists this ribosomal RNA (862 nucleotides) under Mariannaea catenulata. RNAcentral describes it as "SSU rRNA". It matches the Rfam family "Eukaryotic small subunit ribosomal RNA", at positions 140 to 1011 of the family's 1831-position model. Lineage: Eukaryota; Fungi; Ascomycota; Sordariomycetes; Hypocreales; Nectriaceae. The record is from RNAcentral.